GCCGCCAGAGAUAUAAUAUGCAAAAGCAGGCGGGUAGUGGGCGCCGUAGUGGACUACAGAAGGGAAGGGUUUUGGGAAGCUGAAAGCAGAGAUUGAGUAGAAUAAGAGAAACAGGAGAGAGAGGAAUGCUGCAGAGAAGAGUGUGAAAAGCCNNNNNNNNNNNNCCCCAUAAUACUAACAACACUAGUGUUGAAUCGGCCUCUCGUUCUUGUUCCCGUUGUUGGCGAUCAAUUUGAUGAUGGGGCAUAUGGUACAAAAUCAAAUCUAAGUUCAAAAUUUUGAGCUAAAUUUGAGGUUUAGAGAAUAAAUCAGGAUAUGGGCAAUGAGGACUUGAGCAUACCUUUUGGAUUCCAAUGAGAAAUGGAAAAGAAAGGAACCAUCAAAACUGAAGCUGCUUUUUAGGGCAAAUUUCAGAUUUUGAGGUAAAACAAAGAAAUGAGCAUCUAUCAAAUGAAGAUUUCCAUGUUAAAUAUAGGAUUAAAGCAGAAAUAGAGAAAAGGGUACGCUGGGAUCUUGAG
RNAcentral lists this unclassified non-coding RNA (518 nucleotides) under Hevea brasiliensis (rubber tree). Lineage: Eukaryota; Viridiplantae; Streptophyta; Magnoliopsida; Malpighiales; Euphorbiaceae. The record is from RNAcentral.